AUGUGGCAGGCCCUGCUCUAAGUGCCGGACAUGGACUCAUGUGCAGUCGGUGUAGGUCUCCCAAGGACCCUCUGCCACAGAGGUGAAUCCCCAUGUCUACAGCACCAGAACAGCGGGAGGUGGUUGAUUAAUGGGACCUGGCUCUAGAUAUCAAGUGCACCCCAAUGUCCUGUGGCUGGCAGAGCAUUUCCUUCACCAGAAGGACUGGAGUUUCAGUCUAGCAGAGUCCUCGGAUACAGGACCCGCGUGGGAUUUCCAGUUCUGCUACUUCUAGCUGCAGGACCUUCCUCACAGAUGAGGAAACUGAGGGCAGGGAAUUUGCCCAAAGUAGCAGCAAAAGGAUACUCUGGACCACUGUUUGAACCAAGCCUGUCCAGCUCCCCUAUGUCACCAAGAUUCAGAGGAAAACUGACCCACUUGGACUCUGCAGGACACAGAAACUUUCCUGAAGGUUCAUCCUAUACAUCUCACAUCAUCUUCAGAGCAACCUUUGAAGAAGGGGCUAUUGAUACCCCCAUUUUACAGAGGAGGGAACACAGGCUCUUAGCUGUUAAGUAACCAGCCAAGAAGAUACAGCUAGUAAAUGAUGGAGCAGAAUUCAAAUCCAAGCCCCCCUGACACCAUGGUUCACAACCUUAAUCACUGCACCCUACUUGUACAAUUCAUGUAAAGUGGCUCCAGUGUGAAUUUUGGAGUCUGGGAACUGGACAGCCCCAGAUUCACAUUCUCAUUUUACUACUCAAUUGGUCCAUGUAAACAACCUCUCUAAACCUUGGUCUCUUCAUCUGCAAAAGGUAGGAACCUUAAUGCUUAGCUUUCAGGCUUGAAAAUAAAGAAGAACUUCUGUAACCAUAUUGCUUCCAAAGACCUGGUUCAGUCCCAGAACCGGAAUCCCUUUGCACGGCAGGAACACAAAGACUCUUACAACAAUAACUGUGGUUGUGUUUUGUUUCAUGUACGAAGGCUCUGGUGGACACACAAUGGUAUGCCCAUGGUAG
Molecule: long non-coding RNA, 998 nt
Organism: Hyaena hyaena (striped hyena)
Lineage: Eukaryota; Metazoa; Chordata; Mammalia; Carnivora; Hyaenidae
Exons: 5
Source: RefSeq, a predicted model, not a curated record